GACGAAAGUUUGAUGGAGCAACGCCGCUUGAAUGAAGAAGGGUUUCGGCUCGUAAAACUCUGUUGUUAAAGAAGAACAUAUCUGAGAGUAACUGUUCAGGUAUUGACGGUAUUUAACCAGAAAGCCACGGCUAACUACGUGCCAGCAGCCGCGGUAAUACGUAGGUGGCAAGCGUUGUCCGGAUUUAUUGGGCGUAAAGCGAGCGCAGGCGGUUUUUUAAGUCUGAUGUGAAAGCCUUCGGCUCAACCGAAGAAGUGCAUCGGAAACUGGGAAACUUGAGUGCAGAAGAGGACAGUGGAACUCCAUGUGUAGCGGUGAAAUGCGUAGAUAUAUGGAAGAACACCAGUGGCGAAGGCGGCUGUCUGGUCUGUAACUGACGCUGAGGCUCGAAAGUAUGGGUAGCAAACAGGAUUAGAUACCCUGGUAGUCCAUACCGUAAACGAUGAAUGCUAAGUGUUGGAGGGUUUCCGCCCUUCAGUGCUGCAGCUAACGCAUUAAGCAUUCCGCCUGGGGAGUACGGCCGCAAGGCUGAAACUCAAAGGAAUUGACGGGGGCCCGCACAAGCGGUGGAGCAUGUGGUUUAAUUCGAAGCUACGCGAAGAACCUUACCAGGUCUUGACAUACUAUGCAAAUCUAAGAGAUUAGACGUUCCCUUCGGGGACAUGGAUACAGGUGGUGCAUGGUUGUCGUCAGCUCGUGUCGUGAGAUGUUGGGUUAAGUCCCGCAACGAGCGCAACCCUUAUUAUCAGUUGCCAGCAUUAAGUUGGGCACUCUGGUGAGACUGCCGGUGACAAACCGGAGGAAGGUGGGGAUGACGUCAAAUCAUCAUGCCCCUUAUGACCUGGGCUACACACGUGCUACAAUGGAUGGUACAACGAGUUGCGAACUCGCGAGAGUAAGCUAAUCUCUUAAAGCCAUUCUCAGUUCGGAUUGUAGGCUGCAACUCGCCUACAUGAAGUCGGAAUCGCUAGUAAUCGCGGAUCAGCAUGCCGCGGU
Molecule: ribosomal RNA, 996 nt
Filed under: Lactiplantibacillus plantarum
Lineage: Bacteria; Bacillati; Bacillota; Bacilli; Lactobacillales; Lactobacillaceae
Description: bacterial SSU rRNA
Rfam family: Bacterial small subunit ribosomal RNA
Source: RNAcentral